Xiphias gladius (swordfish) is the source of this 1032-nucleotide long non-coding RNA. RefSeq lists it as uncharacterized. Lineage: Eukaryota; Metazoa; Chordata; Actinopteri; Istiophoriformes; Xiphiidae. The transcript has 3 exons. The record is from RefSeq and is a predicted model, not a curated record.
ACGCAGAUAACGAGAGGCCAUGAUAGUCUAACAAAAGAGGGGACUGCCUGCAGGACUCCUGCGUGGAGCCGCUUCCCGUGCAGGCUCCACUGUCAGGACAGGAAAUCACAGGCAGAUUUCUUUUCUUUUUUUUUCGUCCUCAAAAAGACGCAACUUCGGGCGUUUUCGGUCGUUUUUCGCCGCACUGCGCGUCGUAACACCGGUAGGUGACGGAUUUGCAGUCUGAAAUCAUGGGUCUGGCUCACGUUCGCCAUCGACAUCGCUACCGCCGUCAGCAUGUGUAAAUCUAACUCACGCAAAUUACCGACUGUUGCGCAAGUCGGUAGACGUGAUCUAUUGAGAAAAAAAAAAAACCCUCUUUAUAUGUAACUGUGUGUUCGUCGUUAUUAAGCGUUGUUGUAAAGGGUUUAGCAGGUGCACAGGUGUUCAUCUGCCUCAAGAUGUUGACUACGACGCUCAGAUGCAUCGUUCAAUGAUUCCUCCCGGGGGGGGGUCAUUCAGUCCGACGUUGCAAACUUUACCACUGCCCCCUUUGCCCCAAAUUGAAACCCGGCCUACCACCCAGGCUUCAGCGGCACCCGGAAGUCCACAUCAAAAAUGCAAUCAGGUUUAAAGAUAAGAAGAUCUGCAGGUGCAAUUUAAACUGCAGGGAUUGGGGACAUUUCCAUGGCCCUGUUUGUGUAUCAUUAGAAGAAAAGACACGGAGGGACACCCGGAGGCUUGCCGUGGUGCCACGCAACAGACUCCCACUGCAGCUGCUGCCAGGUCCCAACACCAUCGGCAUCUGCUCCUGUUACACUGGAUUUGUCCUUUUCCAUCUGCUCUUCCUCACUGCAACCGCACUCAGCUGCUGCACCCUCUCCCCUGCUUCCACCCACCACGGUCGCCCCCUCCCCAGAACUGACCGCUCCUCAGCCGGGGGGCAUUGGGAGACUGGACAGCAGCUAAUGACUGUUAAUACAAGUAGUAGCUCACUGCCGUGUGAUACGCUGUGUUUGCUGAAUAAAGGGCAGGAGAACAUUUGAUACUUUU